Molecule: ribosomal RNA, 188 nt
Filed under: Shigella boydii
Lineage: Bacteria; Pseudomonadati; Pseudomonadota; Gammaproteobacteria; Enterobacterales; Enterobacteriaceae
Description: partial 16S ribosomal RNA
Rfam family: Bacterial small subunit ribosomal RNA
Source: RNAcentral
AAAUUGAAGAGUUUGAUCAUGGCUCAGAUUGAACGCUGGCGGCAGGCCUAACACAUGCAAGUCGAACGGUAACAGGAAACAGCUUGCUGUUUCGCUGACGAGUGGCGGACGGGUGAGUAAUGUCUGGGAAACUGCCUGAUGGAGGGGGAUAACUACUGGAAAUGGUAGCUAAUACCGCAUAAUGUCGC